GACGAACGCUGGCGGCGUGCCUAAUACAUGCAAGUAGAACGCUGAAGCUUGGUGCUUGCACCGAGCGGAUGAGUUGCGAACGGGUGAGUAACGCGUAGGUAACCUGCCUGGUAGCGGGGGAUAACUAUUGGAAACGAUAGCUAAUACCGCAUAAGAGUAGAUGUUGCAUGACAUUUGCUUAAAAGGUGCAAUUGCCUCACUACCAGAUGGACCUGCGUUGUAUUAGCUAGUUGGUGAGGUAACGGCUCACCAAGGCAACGAUACAUAGCCGACCUGAGAGGGUGAUCGGCCACACUGGGACUGAGACACGGCCCAGACUCCUACGGGAGGCAGCAGUAGGGAAUCUUCGGCAAUGGACGGAAGUCUGACCGAGCAACGCCGCGUGAGUGAAGAAGGUUUUCGGAUCGUAAAGCUCUGUUGUAAGAGAAGAACGAGUGUGAGAGUGGAAAGUUCACACUGUGACGGUAUCUUACCAGAAAGGGACGGCUAACUACGUG
RNAcentral lists this ribosomal RNA (497 nucleotides) under uncultured bacterium. RNAcentral's name for it is "partial 16S ribosomal RNA". It matches the Rfam family "Bacterial small subunit ribosomal RNA", at positions 28 to 507 of the family's 1533-position model. The record is from RNAcentral.